UAAAAAGUGGCAGAAAUAAAUGCAAUAAAUUUAAGCUUUAUCUAUGAGCUGUUGUUCCUUUUUAU
RNAcentral lists this transfer RNA (65 nucleotides) under Septifer bilocularis. Its description in RNAcentral is "tRNA-Leu". Lineage: Eukaryota; Metazoa; Mollusca; Bivalvia; Mytilida; Mytilidae. The record is from RNAcentral.